Long non-coding RNA from Lineus longissimus, 2645 nucleotides. RefSeq lists it as uncharacterized. The transcript has 2 exons. Lineage: Eukaryota; Metazoa; Nemertea; Pilidiophora; Heteronemertea; Lineidae. The record is from RefSeq and is a predicted model, not a curated record.
CUCUCCCCAUCUGUGAGUGACAUUCACCUGGUUAUGACGAACGCAGGUGCUCAGACAUAUCAAAUAUUUCCCUGUCAAACUUUAUCAGUACAAAGGGACGGCAACUUUCACACCGGACUUAAGUGAUAUAUACAUACAUGUAGUGGACGCGGCACCCGAUUUGUCCCAAUAUCAACAACUUCUACUCAACUAAAGACACGCAAAAUCUCCCCUUUAUUUAUAUACGUCGGCUGUACCACUACCGGACAACAAGUCGUAUGGUGCCUUCCCACAAGUCACCUGAUACUAGGCGACAAUUGAGAUGUACUUCAAAUGAGAUGUCCCAGUUGUCAAUUAAAUUACCAGUCUAGAAUAUCAAACUUUAAGUGGAUUAGAUAGACGAUUACAUAAUCUUUUGCCUAUGUGAUAGGCGUUAGAGGACGUUCUUCGGAAUAACUGUGAGGAUAUAAUCUAUGCCAUGAAAAAAAUACUGAUAAGUCUACUUAUAAUCGGACUCCUGAUAAUUUGCCCCACGGUAUCGCGGUCUCGCAGGGUUAAGAGAGGAGGGUGCAGCGGCGGAAGUCGGAAAGACACCAUGGACGCCUGUGAGUUUAUGUGCGAGAUGGGAGCCAAGAGUCGAAGUCAAGUAGUCCAAUGCAGAAACAGGUGUGUAAUGGAGCAAUGCGGUGGUAGACGAAGACGAAGUAUGGAUAGCGGUCUUGAUUACGCAUUUGCCGAAAUUUUACAAAAGGAGUGGGAUGGGUAUUUAAUGUAGAUCAAGAAAGGAGGCGAUUGGUGGAUGGAUGAAAUAUGAUACUUUGUAACCAAUUUCAUAUAUACAUUGCGGAGUAACUUCUAAGAUUGAUAUGCGAGGCGCUCUACUGGUAUUACUAUACUUGGUGUUACUUGUGUACAUGCAUAAUGCAUUGCAUCCAGACAUGUCAAAGUUCCCCAUGGACUUUCAUUAUAAGUAGCCUAUUUUGCCAUAAAUUAAACAGAAACUGAUUUCGGUUGACAUGUUGACAAAACUUGAAUCAAGCCGCCUACAUCGCCAUCAAUGUACCAGCCUUCAUAUACAGGAUUUUUCAGGAUAUGUUUUCCCCCAGUGUUUGCUUGCUGGUAUUGGAGUUUAUCCGCAACAGACACCGCAUGAACAGCUCGUAAAUAAAAUGGGGAAAAUCAAGCAUCACAUUGUUCUCUAUUCAAAGACUAGAGAAUUGUGAAUAGAACAUUAUGAAUGGGCUAAUUUUCUCCAUUUUGCAUCGUUAGGAUAUUCAUCAUUUCGAAACAGGCGCAAUCUUUGUUUUGUGCGCAUGCAUACUCACUUCUUUCUGCCGACCUCGAUCCAGGCGAUGACCUUGCAUGCCUACAACAGUGGAAUUCACCGAAAGUAAGUCUCCUGAAACGAGGCUAGUAGUAACAAAAACAUGAAAAAAAGAUGUUGUCUUGGAUAUUUGUCGAGUGAAAACGAAAUUAUAAUGGUGAUGGCCACGUACAUCUUUUUUUACCUUUAAUAUUUGUUUUCGUUUUAAACCAGUAAGACAUACUGUUAUCAACGUACAGAAUACUAGGCUUACCAAUACAUAAAUUCUAUUUUGUGACCUGUCGGUAAGGGUGUUGUUGCGAUUCUGGACCUUGUCAGAAGGUCAGACGUCAUUCAUUAUGAGCGGAUGCGUUGGGUAAAGCGUGUAUAUACUCUAGUUUCACCCAUCUGACACCGGAUGAUAAAUUACUAUAAAAUCGAAACAAAGGCCAAGCCCUAUCAUGACGUCAUGACAAUCAGAUAACUUGGUGUUGCCAACCAAUUGUUUAUCCAAAUAUUGAACAUGUUAAAUGGCACAAAACGACCAUGUACAUAAUACGCACAUGCUUAAAUUUAAUAUUCAGAGCAGUCUCAGAUUGUUGAAUCUAGAAUUAAUUACUCCGUAAACCUGCCGCGAAAUUUUUUUAUCCGCCGUAAAAUCGACCCGAAAAAGAUUCGGUCGAAAACAAACCGUCAUCUGUUCCUAAUUGGCUGAGACGAAAUUUUACGGCCAGAUUUUACGGUAGGUUUUCGCAGGGGAUAUAUUUUAAGAAAGGUUUAUGCGCGGGGUAAUUUAUCGGCCAUAUCUGAUUUAUGUCCCUGCCGCCAUUAAUGUACACGCGUAUCGUUCUCCCAAGAAAAGAUAUCCAAACUACGUAGGCCCUAUUCACGUUACUUGAAAAAAAUCCCCGAAUGGUCAGCAAAAACAUAUUUUUAAUAUUUGCCUAUCAAUAUUAGUAAUUUUCCAUCACAUCCUCAGACAGGAAGUCACCUGUCAGCCAUCUUGGCUUUUCCUGUUUGUUGAUUGUUGGGAAAAUUGGAAAUCAAUUAAAAGUAAUGAGGCCUCAUUCUAUUUACUUUUUGAUGAGGUUACCGCGGAUCAUCGUUUUAAAGAAGUGUUUAAGGACGAACCAAUUUGCAGCUGCUGUCUUAGCAGCUGCCUGAGAAAAGACUGAGGUGAAUUUGGCUAACACCAGACUGAAUGGAACACCCUGUAUAGUCUACUCCUGGCGGUUCAGUAAAACAAUUACUGAUUCAUACCCUACAUUGUCCUCAAUUGUUGCAUCAUGUCAAUAUCGUCGUCCUUCAUUAAAAGAAUGUAAAAAUAUUCCGGAUUCAGAGAAAUAAAGGUUUAUUUCAAGUA